Molecule: non-coding RNA, 105 nt
Filed under: Ornithinibacillus halophilus
Lineage: Bacteria; Bacillati; Bacillota; Bacilli; Caryophanales; Bacillaceae
Description: Glycine sequence
Rfam family: Glycine riboswitch aptamer
About the family: This family represents the bacterial glycine riboswitch. Glycine riboswitches usually consist of two metabolite-binding aptamers domains with similar structures in tandem.
Source: Rfam by way of RNAcentral
AUGAUUACAAGGGGAGAGUUUAUAAAUUCCUAUAUAAGGAAUUUAUAACGCCGAAGGAGCAAGCGGGAUUGCGAAUCUCUCAGGCAAAAAGACUCUUGUAGGACG